AGCCGGGCGCGGGGCUCGAACUCAGGAACCGCGAGAUCGCCCAACCGACUGAGCCACCCAGGCGCCCCUCCCGUGCAGUCUUUCUUACCUGACUGCAGAAAUAGUUCUUGGCCUGAAAUCUCACUUCAAAUGUGGGUUUAAGGUGUUCUUUUUAGAGGACUUCAGACACUGCCAGGACGCCGGGAGCAACCUUUUUCAGGACGCAAAGCUCGGUGCCCUUAAUUCCCGGAAGAGGAGGAAAAGCACAAUCUCUGAACUAGGUUAGGUCUUCUGGGGAGUGUUCAUCGGCUUCAGCUCACUGAGAAGGGAGUUGGCCAAAUAUAAAAUUCCCCAGUCUGAAUCCUUCUCUUUCUUGUAAGAGCAGCUGGAAGACAAGCCACCCAGCUUAGUGACCCCCCACCUCCCCACCUCGGCUCCCCAGACUUUCAGACCCAGGAGCGCACACAAGUACCGAUCCUGACCAUUAGGUGUCACUGUUGUACACGACAUGGACUGACCUGGGCUCCGGACGAUUGACCGCGCUCCAACUUGAUCCGCCUUUCGAUUUCUGCAUGACCGUGGGGUUCCCCAAAGUCUAGCGGUGCCCAGCCUGAGUCCAGUAACCAGUCAACAGUUGACACAAAGUACAGGUAAAGCCCACCUGGGCUUUGCACUCUGGCAGUUACAGCUCUUUGUGAUGGAGGAUGUAAAAGCAGUCGGUAUGGUGAGCAGCCGGAAGGGCAAAUAAAAAUAUUUUUUACCGUUGCAUUUAAAAAUUCAUAAUAAACUAUGUCAAAUGUACAGGAAAAUUAGAGGACAUUACAAGAAACCCUUGAACUGAAUUGCCAUGUCUGCUUCAGUGUUUUGCUUUGUUUUAUAUAUGUAUUCACAAACAUUGUAGAGCAUCGUUCUGUGUGUUUUCAAAUUUUAUGUAAACAUUCCCAUUUCUAUUACAUCAUUUUGCAAGUUGCUUUUACCACCUCAACCAUUAUUUUUCGUUUUGGGGGUUUAUUACUGUCGCUGUAAGUAGCUCUGAUUUAUUUAUUUGAACCACUGUAUUGUAUUCCAUUGAAUCUCUACAACAAUCAGUUUAUAAAAUCAUUGGCUAUUUCCAAUUUUGUUAUUACUGCAGGUAAGGCUGAAAUGACAAUUUAAAAACAACUUUAUUUAGGUAUAACUUACAUACCACAGAGUUUACCCACUUUAUUAAAGUAUACAAUUCAAUGGC
Herpailurus yagouaroundi (jaguarundi) is the source of this 1207-nucleotide long non-coding RNA. RefSeq lists it as uncharacterized. The record is from RefSeq and is a predicted model, not a curated record. NCBI's taxonomy places the organism in Eukaryota, Metazoa, Chordata, Mammalia, Carnivora, Felidae. The transcript is spliced from 2 exons.